Molecule: long non-coding RNA, 877 nt
Filed under: Homo sapiens (human)
Lineage: Eukaryota; Metazoa; Chordata; Mammalia; Primates; Hominidae
Description: non-protein coding lnc-SEL1L-14:1
Source: RNAcentral
UCUGUCUCUACCUAGCCGGGCGUGGUAGCGGGAGCCUGUAGUCCCAGCUACUUGGGAGGCUGAAGCAGGAGAAUGGCGUGAACCCAGGAGGCGGAGCUUGCAGUGAGCCGAGAUUGCACCACUACACUACAACCUGGGCGACAGAGCGAGACUCCGUCUCAAAAAAAAUAAAAAUUAAAAAUUAAAAAAAUAAAAUAAAGUAAUCAUGCAUUGGAAACAACAAACAACGAAAUAGACAUGGCCAAAUAAUUAGUUAAUUUAAUCAAAAACAUAUUGCACAGAAAAAAAUGAUAAAGCUCAAUGGCUAUACACAUAGGUGGGAAACAAACAAAGGGUUACCCACAAAUAUAUGUAGCCAAGCACCCUUUAUAACAUAUAGGCAAUAGCUAGACCCAUUAUAAUAAAUCAUUCAAGUUGAACAGUUUUGCACUUCUUAAAAUAAAGCAAGCAUCUGACCUUUUGGCUAUCAAAUGAUUUUAUAUUUAGUAACUUUAAUUAAGGAAAUUAAAUUCAUUUAAGCAAAAUUUUGAAGGAAAAUUGUUCAACUGAAUGAUAUUCAAAUCUUACUAAUAUCCAGCCUGGGGAUCACUGAGAUUCAAUAUCCAAAAGAUACAUUAGCCUAUCUCCUUCCAGUUCAAUGUCAUUACAUACAGAGAGAAAAAAUUACAUGAAAAAUAAAGAGAUUUUUAAAAAGUUCUCUGUAAACUCCAAUAACUAAUUUUGACCAAGUAGAUAACUUGAAGCUUCAAGAUAGUGGACCAUGAAAACACAGGGCGUUAGCAGACUAGAGAGUGAGCAAACACCAAACUGGAGUGAAACACACAGAUUUAAAAAUAUAUAAUUAAUUCAGACCAAAAAAAAAAAAAGCCUGAAUGGU